UACGGGGGGAGCAAGCGUUGUUCGGAUUUACUGGGCGUAAAGGGCGCGUAGGCGGCCACCGCAAGUCAGUUGUGAAAUCUCUGGGCUUAACCCAGAACGGUCAGCUGAUACUGCGGGGCUAGAGUGCAGAAGGGGCAACUGGAAUUCUCGGUGUAGCGGUGAAAUGCGUAGAUAUCGAGAGGAACACCUGCGGCGAAGGCGGGUUGCUGGGCUGACACUGACGCUGACAGCGCGGAAGCUAGGGGAGCGAACGGG
This 255-nucleotide ribosomal RNA is filed under the name uncultured bacterium. RNAcentral's name for it is "partial 16S ribosomal RNA". It matches the Rfam family "Bacterial small subunit ribosomal RNA", at positions 524 to 776 of the family's 1533-position model. The record is from RNAcentral.